GAAGUAAAAGUCGUAACAAGGUUUCCGUAGGUGAACCUGCGGAAGGAUCAUUACCGAGUGAGGGCCCUUUGGGUCCAACCUCCCACCCGUGUUUAUUUUACCUUGUUGCUUCGGCGGGCCCGCCUUUACUGGCCGCCGGGGGGCUCACGCCCCCGGGCCCGCGCCCGCCGAAGACACCCCCGAACUCUGUCUGAAGAUUGAAGUCUGAGUGAAAAUAUAAAUUAUUUAAAACUUUCAACAACGGAUCUCUUGGUUCCGGCAUCGAUGAAGAACGCAGCGAAAUGCGAUACGUAAUGUGAAUUGCAAAUUCAGUGAAUCAUCGAGUCUUUGAACGCACAUUGCGCCCCCUGGUAUUCCGGGGGGCAUGCCUGUCCGAGCGUCAUUGCUGCCCUCAAGCCCGGCUUGUGUGUUGGGCCCCGUCCUCCGAUUCCGGGGGACGGGCCCGAAAGGCAGCGGCGGCACCGCGUCCGGUCCUCGAGCGUAUGGGGCUUUGUCACCCGCUCUGUAGGCCCGGCCGGCGCUUGCCGAUCAACCCAAAUUUUUAUCCAGGUUGACCUCGGAUCAGGUAG
RNAcentral lists this ribosomal RNA (569 nucleotides) under Penicillium polonicum. RNAcentral's name for it is "eukaryotic LSU rRNA". The stretch from base 230 to 382 matches the Rfam family "5.8S ribosomal RNA". Lineage: Eukaryota; Fungi; Ascomycota; Eurotiomycetes; Eurotiales; Aspergillaceae. The record is from RNAcentral.